GCACGCUUUCCAUUAAACAAUGGCGAGUACAAGGCAAUUUAAUAUGUAAAGUAAAUUUUCUUUGUUUUUGUGGCGAUUUCGGCUAGACAACACUAACAUGGCGUCGAAUCAAGAUUCCGCAAGUGUUCAAAAUAAACUUCAGUGCUCAGCGACUUUAAAGCCAAAAAAAGAUCAAGUUACCACUGUUGUGUGCCUCUAUGUAAUGGAGAUUCCAGAUAUCACCAA
This is a long non-coding RNA of Xenia sp. Carnegie-2017, 225 nucleotides long. RefSeq lists it as uncharacterized. The transcript has 2 exons. The record is from RefSeq and is a predicted model, not a curated record. NCBI's taxonomy places the organism in Eukaryota, Metazoa, Cnidaria, Anthozoa, Malacalcyonacea, Xeniidae.